AACCAGAACAUAAAUGAGAGUAAAAAUAUAGUGGUAGAAGGACCGAGCCUGACCCCAUGGAAAGAACUGUCCUUGACCCUGCUUCAAACCGCAUGAAAUUUAAUUGUGAUGAUACUACAGAGCGUAAUUUUACUUGGACACAAUUAACAAAUCAUAGUAGUAAACGCCAUAUUGAUAACUGGCUCAUAACUCACAAAUCAUUCAUACGGG
This 210-nucleotide long non-coding RNA is filed under the name Elaeis guineensis (African oil palm). RNAcentral's name for it is "long non-coding RNA (EGUI_LNC015703)". Lineage: Eukaryota; Viridiplantae; Streptophyta; Magnoliopsida; Arecales; Arecaceae. The record is from RNAcentral.